AUGUUCCCUUCUACCACGGCCACGGCCUCCCGCCUCCUCGUCCCCGCCGCCUCUCGCCGCGCCAUGGCCACUGCCGCCUCCGCCAACCCGCCGCCCCCGCAGCAAUCGCCCUCCAAGGCGGUGCGGGUCGUGGUGAAGGGCCGCGUGCAGGGCGUCUUCUUCCGCGACUGGACGGUGGAGACGGCCCGCGCGCUCGGGCUCGCCGGCUGGGUCCGCAACCGCCGCGACGGCACCGUGGAGGCCCUCCUCUCCGGCGAACCCGCCAGGGUCGACGAGAUGGUCUCCCGGCGCCUUCCCGUCGGGCCUCCCGCCGCCGCCGUCACCGCGGUGCUGCCUUCCCCCGCCGAUCCGCUCGACCCCUCCGAGGGCUUCCACCGCAAGCCCACCGCCUGA
RNAcentral lists this ribosomal RNA (393 nucleotides) under Triticum aestivum (bread wheat). Its description in RNAcentral is "partial small subunit ribosomal RNA". The record is from RNAcentral. Lineage: Eukaryota; Viridiplantae; Streptophyta; Magnoliopsida; Poales; Poaceae.